UCAAGAAUGGACCAAGACAUGGAGAAAACCCGCGAAGCACAGAUUAGUUAUAUAGAAAGCACCCAUGGAAGCAUCAAGAAGAUUGUAACAUAAACUAUUUUGUUCCGUGUCUCGUUCAGUUUAAUGUUGCGGAAAUUGAAUGUAUCCACACUGUCAUCGAAUGAAUCUACAGAGAAUGUAGGAAAAGAUUCAGAAGGCACAAAAAAAUCAUCGCUCGCGGGUGAAUUUUCGAACUACAUUUAAAUUGGUUGAUUUAAAAAUAUUUUGACACUGAAUUUGGAAUCAUGUGAAAGCAAUUUAAACUCUGGUGCAAAUGGUACGCAACCUGGUUAGUUAGGCAUUAAAAAUUGGAGUAAAUAAGUAUCGUAUUGAAUAGUAGAUUACAUGCUAAAUUUCUUUAAACUUUGUGAAUUAUAUAACGACAAUAGCAAGAAUAUUCUUGAAAUACGACGCGUACAUUACAAGUGUUAAUAACAAUAAAAUUCCUUUUAUCAAUA
Long non-coding RNA from Acromyrmex echinatior (Panamanian leafcutter ant), 497 nucleotides. The record is from RefSeq and is a predicted model, not a curated record. Lineage: Eukaryota; Metazoa; Arthropoda; Insecta; Hymenoptera; Formicidae.